AAUGACUCCUAUGUCUCAGGCACCCUGUGCCCAUUUAAAAAAGAAAAAGGGCACAGGGUGCCUGAGACAUGGGAGACAUUUAGGAACC
Molecule: non-coding RNA, 88 nt
Organism: Pelobates cultripes (western spadefoot toad)
Lineage: Eukaryota; Metazoa; Chordata; Amphibia; Anura; Pelobatidae
Source: the annotation of a GenBank genome assembly